RNAcentral lists this ribosomal RNA (309 nucleotides) under Neisseria mucosa. RNAcentral's name for it is "bacterial SSU rRNA". It matches the Rfam family "Bacterial small subunit ribosomal RNA", at positions 32 to 335 of the family's 1533-position model. The record is from RNAcentral. Lineage: Bacteria; Pseudomonadati; Pseudomonadota; Betaproteobacteria; Neisseriales; Neisseriaceae.
AACGCUGGCGGCAUGCUUUACACAUGCAAGUCGGACGGCAGCACAGAGAAGCUUGCUUCUUGGGUGGCGAGUGGCGAACGGGGUGAGUAACAUAUCGGAACGUACCCGACCAGUGGGGGAUAACUAAUCGAAAGAUUAGCUAAUACCCGCAUAUAUUCUGAGGAAGAAAGCAGGGGACCAUUUGGCCUUGCGCUGUUUGAGCGGCCGACAUCUGAUUAGCUAGUUGGUGGGUAAAGGCCUACCAAGGCGACGAUCAGUAGCGGGUCUGAGAGGAUGAUCCGCCACACUGGGACUGAGACACGGCCCAGA